Molecule: long non-coding RNA, 2170 nt
Organism: Rosa chinensis
Lineage: Eukaryota; Viridiplantae; Streptophyta; Magnoliopsida; Rosales; Rosaceae
Exons: 2
Source: RefSeq, a predicted model, not a curated record
GAGCAAUUAGGCUAAAUUAUUUAGCUAAUUAAACACAACUAUUUGCUAGUUCGCUGUAAUUAAGUUCCUAGUAUAAAAAGUUGCAUGAACCGGAUAAGAAAUAAAUAAUUGAUAUAAUUAUACCCUUUGGGUUAGUCUACUGGAUCCAAUUCGUAUAAGGUAAACAAUGUCAGAUUAGCCAAAAAGCUAAGAAAGAGCGAUAAUGACCGGUUGGAAGUUCCUAGUAACUUUUAUGUGUUCAAUGGCUUCAUGGUCUUGCAAAUCUUGCAUAUAACACAAAUUUUAGAAGAUUUGUAAGGCCAUUUCAAGCAGCAUAUAUAGUUAUAUGACUAUAUAACUAUAUAGUCAACUCGUAUGCCCUUCUUGACUGACUAAACUUAUGAAAUACGUAUAGUUGGCACUGUAUUUAAGAACCGGACUAAAUGCUCGAUCGUUUGAUCUUUUCACUGUCGUAAACCUUGUGAAAUAAUUAAGAACUAGCACUUUGUCAUGCAAAAUGCAUGAAGGACCGAAAAGUUAAUAUCAAUCUGAAUACUCAAUCCAAAAGCUCAGUUGCUACGCAAUUUGUGACCUAAUUUUGAUAGUUUGUUGUGAUGCAUCGAUUUCGAUAGUAGUUCAUUUCUCCAAAAACGUAAACAGAACUUUAGACAUACCCUUCCAUAGAGUCUUGAUUUGAGAUUGUGACAUUACAAAUAAGAGCGAGCAAAGUUAGAUGAUGUCCUCUUGAGCAUGAUGGGGGCUAACACUAGCAGAAUGAGAUCUACCCUUAAUUACCAUAUGGGAUAGAGCAGAGAACAUUCGACUCUGGACAAACUGGACCUAUAGAGUUCACGAUUCACCCUCACCUAUUAUGUGAGUAACUGUGGCCUAAUAUGACUAAAACCGAGGGUCUAAAACUAAAUGAAAUUAGACCAACCAUAGAAAUAUCGAACCGAGAACCCAGGGUUCAACCUCAGCUGAAAUAGGAUCUACCUUGGUUGAAUAAGUCUAAGCGUAGACAGUGGAGUGGGACUGAAGACAGUGGAGUGGGACUGAACAACACUCUAGCUAGUCGCAAUGGCGACCAUAAUAGGACCUACUUUUGAUAAUAACCAGUGGCCGUAGUGUAAUCUAGGGUGAACCACGUAGUCAUUUGUGUUUUAUGUUUAUAGUGCAACACUUAGUUUUAGCUAACCGAAACUUUUAGACCUGCUUGGACUCCCUUGCUAACUAAUCAAGCUCACUCACCAGCAAAAAAAAAGAAAAAAGAAAAAAAGAUAGUAAAUCAAAAUAUAACAAAGAAUUAACAAAAGAAAAUAAUUAGUAAAUCAAAGUACCCUUUCUAUCUGGGAAAUCACACAUUUCUAACAAAAAGUAUGUUCUUAAUCAUUUCUAUAACUAUCAUGCUCAUUAAAAAAAUUACAGGUGCAACACCUAAAUAAUGAACAACCAGUUAGAAACACCACUAUAUAAAUAACCACCAUAUAAAUCAUGGAAGUGUUGUUGGUUGGUGACUUGGUGGAAGUGAAUACCAUGGAAAGGUUUAUAUUUUUAUUUUCUUAUUUUUAAUAAAAGCGAGCGUAUCUUGGAAAAUCUAUCAACACAUGUUCUACGGGUGAGAUUUAAAGUCUUCCAAGUUGGACAUUUCAUCAUAUAAAUAAGACACCUGGGAACCAAAUGUUGCCACAAGAGAAAGAAAAUAUAAACAAAAUCAACAGAUCGAGACGGCUUUGCGUGUGUGCAUCACAGAGUAAUAAUAUUGCAACAACUCGAUCCCAGUUGGAUUUCAUACUUGAAGACACCCUCUGAUAUCAGAUCUGGGGCUUCAAAGACAAUAUCCCCGGAAUAACAGAGAAGAAAAGGUAACUUAGCUCAUGAUUGUGAGCUGCGGCCAUGCACACCUCCGAUGAUCCGAAUCCGAUGAUUCGUGCUGUACGAAAAAAACUUAUAGGGGGAGGGAGGGGCCGGCCGAGCAGUCAUUGUCUUAAAGAAGCCACAACAAUAAGGUUCAUGUCAACUUCAAAGCCAAAUAAGGCAAAAGGGUUUUUUUCUUUUCUCCCAAGUGAGAUGUUUGGCAUGUGACCAAUUUGCUGAGGAGUUCGACUUAAAUUGGAAAACUUUUUAUUGCCCCUGUACUUUUUUCCGGUUCGCAUUCCCAAAGUGUCCUUUAAAAUAAGGUAUAUUCUUUUUA